GCAGAAGGAUCAUUAGUGAAAGUUUCGGGCCUGCCAUACGGACGCAAACACGUCUCUGGCGCCCAUCACUAUAUCCAUACCAACCCCUGUGCACUGUGAUGACGAAUGUCAUCGAACAAAAAAAAACUCGUAUGGUUGAAUGUACGUGAAAUUGUAGGUAUGGCCUACGAACUAUACACAACUUUCGACAACGGAUCUCUUGGUUCUCCCA
RNAcentral lists this unclassified non-coding RNA (211 nucleotides) under uncultured fungus. RNAcentral's name for it is "partial contains 18S rRNA, ITS1, 5.8S rRNA". Lineage: Eukaryota; Fungi. The record is from RNAcentral.